AGUGAACGCUGGCGGUAGGCCUAACACAUGCAAGUCGAACGGCAGCACAGUAAGAGCUUGCUCUUACGGGUGGCGAGUGGCGGACGGGUGAGGAAUACAUCGGAAUCUACUUUUUCGUGGGGGAUAACGUAGGGAAACUUACGCUAAUACCGCAUACGACCUACGGGUGAAAGCAGGGGAUCUUCGGACCUUGCGCGAUUGAAUGAGCCGAUGUCGGAUUAGCUAGUUGGCGGGGUAAAGGCCCACCAAGGCGACGAUCCGUAGCUGGUCUGAGAGGAUGACCGGCAAAAUUGGAACUGAGCAACGGUCCAGACUCCUACGGGAGGAAGCAGUGGGAAAUAUUGGAAAAUGGGCGCAAGCCUGAUCAAGCCAUACCGCGUGGGUGAAGAAGGCCUUCGGGUUGUAAAGCCCUUUUUUGGGAAAGAAAAGCAGCAGGUUAAUACCCCGCUGUUCUGACGGUACCCAAAGAAUAAGCACCGGCUAACUUCGUG
Molecule: ribosomal RNA, 491 nt
Filed under: uncultured bacterium
Lineage: Bacteria
Description: partial 16S ribosomal RNA
Rfam family: Bacterial small subunit ribosomal RNA
Source: RNAcentral